This 812-nucleotide ribosomal RNA is filed under the name uncultured bacterium. RNAcentral describes it as "bacterial SSU rRNA". It matches the Rfam family "Bacterial small subunit ribosomal RNA", at positions 1 to 850 of the family's 1533-position model. The record is from RNAcentral.
CCCUUGUUUGAUCCUGGCUCAGAACGAACGUUGGCGGCGUGGAUUAGGCAUGCAAGUCGGGGGAAUCCCAGCAAUGGGGGAACCGGCGUAAGGGGCUGUAAGGCGUGGGUACCUACCGCGGGGUUCGGGAUAGCCGUCCGAGAGGGCGGGUAAUACCGGAUGACGUGGCGACACCAAAGAUUCAUCGCCCCGCGAGGGGCCCACGUGAUAUUAGCUAGUUGGUGGGGUAACGGCCCACCAAGGCGAAGAUGUCUAGCGGGUGUGAGAGCACGACCCGCGCCACUGGCACUGAGACACUGGCCAGACACCUACGGGUGGCUGCAGUCGAGGAUCUUCGGCAAUGGGGGCAACCCUGACCGAGCGACGCCGCGUGUGCGACGAAGGCCUUCGGGUUGUAAAGCACUGUCGAGGGUGAGAAAAGCCCGCAAGGGCGUGAUCUAACCCUGGAGGAAGCUCGGGCUAAGUUCGUGCCAGCAGCCGCGGUAAGACGAACCGAGCGAACGUUGUUCGGAAUCACUGGGCUUAAAGGGCGCGUAGGCGGGCUGCCGCGUCCGGGGUGAAAUCCUCCCGCUCAACGGGAGAACGGCCUCGGAUACGGGCGGCCUCGAGGGGGGUAGGGGCAUCUGGAACUGUGGGUGGAGCGGUGAAAUGCGUUGAUAUCCACAGGAACUCCGGUGGCGAAGGCGAGGUGCUGGACCCCAUCUGACGCUGAGGCGCGAAAGCCAGGGGAGCAAACGGGAUUAGAUACCCCGGUAGUCCUGGCCCUAAACGUUGGGUACUAGUAGUAGACCGGACAUGGGUUUACUGCCGGA